RNAcentral lists this unclassified non-coding RNA (334 nucleotides) under soil metagenome. RNAcentral describes it as "partial contains 5.8S ribosomal RNA, internal transcribed spacer 2, and large subunit ribosomal RNA". The stretch from base 1 to 120 matches the Rfam family "5.8S ribosomal RNA", at positions 35 to 154 of the family's 154-position model. The record is from RNAcentral.
GAUGAAGAACGUAGCGAAAUGCGAUAAGUAAUGUGAAUUGCAGAAUUCAGUGAAUCAUCGAAUCUUUGAACGCACAUUGCGCCCGCCAGUAUUCUGGCGGGCAUGCCUGUUCGAGCGUCAUUUCAACCAUCAAGCCCUGCUUGCGUUGGGGUCCUGCGGCUGCCCGCAGGCCCUGAAAACCAGUGGCGGGCUCGCUAGUCACACCGAGCGCAGUAAUACAUCUCGCUUUGGGCGUGCGGCGGGUUCUUGCCGUUAUACACCCCCUUUUUACCAAGGUUGACCUCGGAUCAGGUAGGAAUACCCGCUGAACUUAAGCAUAUCAAUAAGCGGAGGA